Molecule: ribosomal RNA, 1482 nt
Filed under: uncultured bacterium
Lineage: Bacteria
Description: bacterial SSU rRNA
Rfam family: Bacterial small subunit ribosomal RNA
Source: RNAcentral
UUUGAUCCUGGCUCAGGAUGAACGCUAGCUACAGGCUUAACACAUGCAAGUCGAGGGGCAUCAGGAAGAAAGCUUGCUUUCUUUGCUGGCGACCGGCGCACGGGUGAGUAACACGUAUCCAACCUGCCCUUUACUCGGGGAUAGCCUUUCGAAAGAAAGAUUAAUACCCGAUGGCAUAAUGAUUCCGCAUGGUUUCAUUAUUAAAGGAUUCCGGUAAAGGAUGGGGAUGCGUUCCAUUAGGUUGUUGGUGAGGUAACGGCCCACCAAGCCUUCGAUGGAUAGGGGUUCUGAGAGGAAGGUCCCCCACAUUGGAACUGAGACACGGUCCAAACUCCUACGGGAGGCAGCAGUGAGGAAUAUUGGUCAAUGGGCGCUAGCCUGAACCAGCCAAGUAGCGUGAAGGAUGAAGGCUCUAUGGGUCGUAAACUUCUUUUAUAUAAGAAUAAAGUGCAGUAUGUAUACUGUUUUGUAUGUAUUAUAUGAAUAAGGAUCGGCUAACUCCGUGCCAGCAGCCGCGGUAAUACGGAGGAUCCGAGCGUUAUCCGGAUUUAUUGGGUUUAAAGGGAGCGUAGGUGGACUGGUAAGUCAGUUGUGAAAGUUUGCGGCUCAACCGUAAAAUUGCAGUUGAUACUGUCAGUCUUGAGUACAGUAGAGGUGGGCGGAAUUCGUGGUGUAGCGGUGAAAUGCUUAGAUAUCACGAAGAACUCCGAUUGCGAAGGCAGCUCACUGGACUGCAACUGACACUGAUGCUCGAAAGUGUGGGUAUCAAACAGGAUUAGAUACCCUGGUAGUCCACACAGUAAACGAUGAAUACUCGCUGUUUGCGAUAUACAGUAAGCGGCCAAGCGAAAGCAUUAAGUAUUCCACCUGGGGAGUACGCCGGCAACGGUGAAACUCAAAGGAAUUGACGGGGGCCCGCACAAGCGGAGGAACAUGUGGUUUAAUUCGAUGAUACGCGAGGAACCUUACCCGGGCUUAAAUUGCAGUGGAAUGAUGUGGAAACAUGUCAGUGAGCAAUCACCGCUGUGAAGGUGCUGCAUGGUUGUCGUCAGCUCGAGCCGUGAGGUGUCGGCUUAAGUGCCAUAACGAGCGCAACCCUUAUCUUUAGUUACUAACAGGUCAUGCUGAGGACUCUGGAGAGACUGCCGUCGUAAGAUGUGAGGAAGGUGGGGAUGACGUCAAAUCAGCACGGCCCUUACGUCCGGGGCUACACACGUGUUACAAUGGGGGUACAGAAGGCAGCUAGCGGGUGACCGUAUGCUAAUCCCAAAAGCCUCUCUCAGUUCGGAUCGAAGUCUGCAACCCGACUUCGUGAAGCUGGAUUCGCUAGUAAUCGCGCAUCAGCCACGGCGCGGUGAAUACGUUCCCGGGCCUUGUACACACCGCCCGUCAAGCCAUGGGAGCCGGGGGUACCUGAAGUACGUAACCGCAAGGAUCGUCCUAGGGUAAAACUGGUGACUGGGGCUAAGUCGUAACAAGGUA